CCAGUAAAUAUUUGUCUGGGUUUUUCCCCCAUCUGGCGCAAUGAAGGUGAAGGCCGGCACACGCCGGCCAAGGUGGAAUCCCGAGGUCUUGGUCCUUCUUCCCGUCCUGCCGAGGGCGCACCACUGGCCCCGUCUCACCCGCCCUGCCGGGGAGGUGGAGCAUGAGCGUGUGUUAGGACCCGAAAGAUGGUGAACUAUGCCUGGGCAGGGCGAAGCCAGAGGAAACUCUGGUGGAGGUCUGUAGAGGUCCUGACGUGCAAAUUGGUCAUCCGACCUGGGUAUAGGGGCGAAAGACUAAUCGAACCAUCUAGUAGCUGG
Molecule: non-coding RNA, 318 nt
Filed under: Monodelphis domestica (gray short-tailed opossum)
Lineage: Eukaryota; Metazoa; Chordata; Mammalia; Didelphimorphia; Didelphidae
Description: Eukaryotic large subunit ribosomal RNA
Rfam family: Eukaryotic large subunit ribosomal RNA
Source: Rfam by way of RNAcentral